Molecule: ribosomal RNA, 253 nt
Filed under: uncultured bacterium
Lineage: Bacteria
Description: partial 16S ribosomal RNA
Rfam family: Bacterial small subunit ribosomal RNA
Source: RNAcentral
UACGUAGGGACCAAGCGUUGUUCGGAUUUACUGGGCGUAAAGGGCGCGUAGGCGGCAAUUCAAGUCAGUUGUGAAAUCUCCGAGCUUAACUCGGAACGGUCAACUGAUACUGUUUUGCUAGAGUGCAGAAAGGGCAACCGGAAUUCUUGGUGUAGCGGUGAAAUGCGUAGAUAUCGAGAGGAACACCUGCGGCGAAGGCGGGUAGCUGGGCCGACACUGACGCUGAGGCGCGAAAGCCAGGGGAGCGAACGGG